Molecule: ribosomal RNA, 447 nt
Filed under: uncultured bacterium
Lineage: Bacteria
Description: bacterial SSU rRNA
Rfam family: Bacterial small subunit ribosomal RNA
Source: RNAcentral
GCCCAGACUCCUACGGGAGGCAGCAGUGGGGAAUAUUGCACAAUGGGGGAAACCCUGAUGCAGCGACGCCGCGUGAAGGAAGAAGUAUUUCGGUAUGUAAACUUCUAUCAGCAGGGAAGAAAAUGACGGUACCUGACUAAGAAGCCCCGGCUAACUACGUGCCAGCAGCCGCGGUAAUACGUAGGGGGCAAGCGUUAUCCGGAUUUACUGGGUGUAAAGGGAGCGUAGGCGGUUUAGCAAGUCAGAAGUGAAAGCCCGGGGCUCAACUCCGGGACUGCUUUUGAAACUGUUGAACUAGAUUGCAGGAGAGGUAAGUGGAAUUCCUAGUGUAGCGGUGAAAUGCGUAGAUAUUAGGAAGAACACCAGUGGCGAAGGCGGCUUUCUGGACUGAAACUGACGCUGAGGCACGAAAGCGUGGGGAGCGAACAGGAUUAGAUACCCUCGUAU